RNAcentral lists this ribosomal RNA (500 nucleotides) under uncultured bacterium. Its description in RNAcentral is "partial 16S ribosomal RNA". It matches the Rfam family "Bacterial small subunit ribosomal RNA", at positions 29 to 523 of the family's 1533-position model. The record is from RNAcentral.
AUUGAACGCUGGCGGCAUGCUUUACACAUGCAAGUCGAACGGUAACAGGGUGCUUGCACCGCUGACGAGUGGCGAACGGGUGAGUAAUGCGUCGGAACGUGCCGAGUAGUGGGGGAUAACGCAGCGAAGGUUGUGCUAAUACCGCAUACGUACUGAGGUAGAAAGUGGGGGACCUUCGGGCCUCACGCUAUUCGAGCGGCCGACGUCUGAUUAGCUAGUAGGUGAGGUAAAGGCUCACCCAGGCGACGAUCAGUAGCGGGGCUGAGAGGAUGGUCCGCCACACUGGGACUGAGACACGGCCCAGACGCGAACGGGAGGGAGCAGUGGGGAAUUGUGGACAAUGGGCGAAAGCCUGAUCCAGCCAUGCCGCGUGUCUGAAGAAGGCCUUCGGGUUGUAAAGGACUUUUGUCAGGGAGGAAAUCCCUAGUGCUAAUAACACUGGGGGAUGACAGUACCUGAAGAAUAAGCACCGGCUAACUACGUGCCAGCCGCCGCCGUAA